UGGUUCAGGACGAACGCUGGCGGNGUGCCUAAUACAUGCAAGUAGAACGCUGAAGGAGGAGCUUGCUUCUCCGGAUGAGUUGCGAACGGGUGAGUAACGCGUAGGUAACCUGCCUGGUAGCGGGGGAUAACUAUUGGAAACGAUAGCUAAUACCGCAUAAGAGUAGAUGUUGCAUGACAUUUGCUUAAAAGGUGCAAUUGCAUCACUACCAGAUGGACCUGCGUUGUAUUAGCUAGUUGGUGGGGUAACGGCUCACCAAGGCGACGAUACAUAGCCGACCUGAGAGGGUGAUCGGCCACACUGGGACUGAGACACGGCCCAGACUCCUACGGGAGGCAGCAGUAGGGAAUCUUCGGCAAUGGACGGAAGUCUGACCGAGCAACGCCGCGUGAGUGAAGAAGGUUUUCGGAUCGUAAAGCUCUGUUGUAAGAGAAGAACGAGUGUGAGAGU
RNAcentral lists this ribosomal RNA (450 nucleotides) under Streptococcus mitis. RNAcentral's name for it is "bacterial SSU rRNA". It matches the Rfam family "Bacterial small subunit ribosomal RNA", at positions 20 to 462 of the family's 1533-position model. Lineage: Bacteria; Bacillati; Bacillota; Bacilli; Lactobacillales; Streptococcaceae. The record is from RNAcentral.